GAAUGUAAGUCUGUUACUCGGGAGGAAUUUGAAUCAUUGUGUUUUUCAUACAUGCAUGAAAAAGAGAACUGAUGCUUUGCAACCUCUCUUUCAGCACCAUGUUCUGUUUGACCUAAUCCUGUCCAGGACCAGGAAAUGUAGCUGCCAGUAACUUCCUCUGGAUGAUAUUCAAGUGUUUUGGAAUAGUAUAUAUGAAAUAAGAUCAGCAAGAUUGAAUGUGAAUCCGGAUUACAGGUCAACGUCAGGAGAUUUCUGUGUUAUUGGAGGGACUCAUCAAUGUUAGAAACAGCAAACUGAUCUAGGCAGAAAGAAAAAGCCAGCUGAUGCUGAGAGAAGAGGUAAUUCCUACGGCUCUGGAAGACUGCUGCA
Long non-coding RNA from Numida meleagris (helmeted guineafowl), 369 nucleotides. RefSeq lists it as uncharacterized. The transcript is spliced from 3 exons. NCBI's taxonomy places the organism in Eukaryota, Metazoa, Chordata, Aves, Galliformes, Numididae. The record is from RefSeq and is a predicted model, not a curated record.